CUUGAAUGAUUUGCCAGCGCUUUGAAGUAAAAGGAGGCAGCAUAAAUAAUUGAUUCCGCUGCACACCGGCUGACACCUCACGGCGGCCCCGAGCACAGCGAGGUGUCCCAACAACGUCUAAAGGCGCCCCCUAAAGGUUCCAAGUGGAAUCAAAUGAAGGCGCUGCAGUCAACACAAACAUCCAAAGAAGUGAAAGAAGCCAAACUGAUGAAGCAAGGAGUCAAUUUUGAUCCAUAAGGAGAUUAAGGGCCAUUGCAGGACACUGUAACACUGCAGCCUCCAGGGCAGAGUUCACACAGCUGGAUUAUAAACAUGCCCCAUCGACCAGUGAAAACCUUUGGUGCGUUUUUACAACGAAAGCAUCAGUCGAGGAAGGCUAACAAUGAAGGAGAACAAGGCUCUGAGGUCCACCGCAACAAAGUGGACACUGUCGUAUCCAGGUGAUCAACACGCUGAGUGGAACAGAUGGAGAUGUGGACACCCAUGGCACAACAUAUCACCCAAGGAGAAACACCAAGGAGACAGCGAGGGUUGGACUCAACGAGGCUCUGCUGCCCCCUGCGGGUGAGUCGGAGAGGCACCUCGGUGCGCAACUGCACUGCAUCAUAUUUGUUUCUCAUAUUUUAUCCCAAUUUCAUUCCUACCCUGGCCAAAUUUUCAUUUUAAGCGUUAAACGUUUUUGAAAAACAAAAAUUAAUAUCUCACAAUCUAAUCAACGGUACAUUAAUAGUGGAUAUGCAUUUAUUGAGACAAUUGUAUAAAUUCCACAUUUUAUUUUUUGUAUAAAAUUUUAAACUCAACAUGUAUUUUAGAAGAAUUUAUCGAUCUAGAGUUGUUUGCCACUACAGCUCUUGCGUAUAACUGAAUACGUCUAUAAUGUUGUGGCAUGACGGUUUAUAAGAAAAAUAAAUUAAAAAGGGGCUAUUUCUUGAAAAUGUAAAAAUCUUUUUAUUUUUAAAAUCCUGGAUUAAAAAAAAAAAUCUAUUUCCAGUCUCACAUUCCCCACGACAGAUAUAACUUAAUGUAAUGUACAGCAGCUAAUGUGGCAGGUGGGUGUACUCGUCCAUUUUCUGCACCGCUUGUCCUCCAUGUGAGUGUACGAGUAAAAAAAAUAACUGAAGUGGAUUUUUCUUAAAAUCUUUCAAUGCAACAUCAUAUAUUAAAAUAUGUAAAAUUCAUAAAAUGAAUAUGAAUAUUUGUAUCAUGAAUAUUUACAAAACUACAGCUUUGAAAUGAACAUCUCUUUCGGUCAUUUGCCACUACAGCUACACUAGCAAUAUACAGUAUAAUUAGAUUUCAUGUAUCCCUGAGCGCACGUAAAUAAUCACACCAAAUCAAUGAAAAGUUCCACCAUUCUAAAUGUAUUGAACAGUGUUACACAUGAUAGUUCUCUUCAGGUAGGAACUCUGAUGACAUCGUAUCAAAAACAACUGUAAAAAGUACAAAUAACAAAAGUGAAGACGUUGUAAACGACAUCCAUAACAAGAAAAACUUUCUCGUGGCAGUAUUCUCAAGAAUCUUUUUAAAAAUGAUUAUUUAGUCAUAAAAAUGUGAUUAUUCUCACCUUAAUUCAUAUUGUAGUUGUGUGUGCCUCAAACAGAGACAAUCGUUUGAAGCAUUCCCAUUUAUUGGGAUGAAUGUAGUGAUUUCAUCAUUUAGCUUUUUUAAAAAAGGUGAAUUUCAAGUAGAAAAAGGUGAAAUGUACAAGAUAAAAUGUAACAGUAGAAAAACAGGCCACGCAAUAAAGCCAGUUGAAAUAUUAUAUGUAAAACAAAACAAUGCAUGCUGCCUUAGGCUAGACUGUUCUACUGAAUAGAAGCGUCCUCAUUACAUGAGGUGGAUGUGAUUCCAGAGAAGACGGCGGCUGCUGUGUGAAGAUGUGGCGGAGGCGUUACAUGAGUCAAAUACUGCCCAUUGGGUCCGGUUCUGACCCAUCACGCUCGUUUGAGCUUGUCGAUGUGAAAGGUGAGCUUGAGGGCGGGGCCCAGCUUCAGGCCCAUGUACUUCAUCAUCACGUCACUGCGCAGCAACAGCAGUGCCUUGCCGUCGAUCUCCUGUCGCACAGGACGGUCGCGUUAUUGAAUGUUUGUGAAACCUAACCAUAGUGUGUGCAAUCAUCAUCAGGGGUGGAACAGUACGCCAUAAAAACAGUUCGGUAUGUACUAAAUGCAAAACAAAGACUGCAUGACUACUGUAUAUCGCGAGUAAAAAAAAAAAUGCAAUAAUGACAACACGGACCGUUACACCCCUCGUAAUGAUGAUUAUGAAAGUAUGCAUACAUGUUUCCUGAAUAGGUCGGCAUGCGGCGCCAGCACAGGGUCGAUGUCCCGAAUGUACUGCAUGACUUCCUCUACGCUCCAAAGGUUGGGGUCUUGACCACUGGGCCUGGGGCUCUCCCGAAAACUGCCCGAGCCUGAAGGAGCACUAAAAUCAUCCCUUUGCUCAUUUUUCAGCCAUAUGUUUGCAUGUUGACAUCCUCGGCGGGCCUCCAUCACUUCGUCAGCGGGACUCUAAAGCCUGUGACUCUCCGCGAAGGAUCCAAGGGUCGCGGGGAUAUGCUGGAGCCUAUCCCAUCUGGAAUGUGGGAGGAAACCCAGGAGAAAACCCACACACGCAUGGGGAGAACAUGCAAACUCCACACACAGAUGCCCAAGCAGAGAUUUGAAUCCAGGUCUUCCCACUGGCUCAAGUGCUCCGGUGUGUUCCGGUGCUAGUAGUGGAGCAGAACACGAGUUGAGUUUUAGCUUGCCGUGGGUUAUGGCCGCAACAGUAGCCCAUCUAUUCAUUUUCUAUGCCACUUAUCCUCACUAGGGCUGCGGGGGUAUGCUGGAGCCUAUCCCAGCUGACUUUGGGCGAGAGGAGGGGUACACCCUGCACUGGUCGCCAGCCAAUUGCAGGGCACAUAUAGACAAACAACCAUUCACACUCACCUAUGGGCAAUUUAGAGUCUCCUAUUAACCUAACAUGCAUAUUUUUGGAAUGUGGGACGAAACCGGAGUACCCGGAGAAACUCCAUCUUGUAUCAAAUUUCAUACAAAAUUAACAGGUUUCACGCUGACAUGAGCCUAUGAUUUCUGCAAAUUUGCAAAUUGGUUGACAACAUCCAGUCAACGUGUCAUUGAUACUAUUUUUUCUACAAAUUUAAGUAAGUCUCAAAAUUUUGUGCAUUGGCCAAAAUCUAGCCUUGAUGCUAGAAUUUACAGAGUUUGAAAGCGCUUUUAGUUAGUGCUGUCAAGAGAUUUAAAAAAUUGACAGAUUAAUUGAUUAAUAAUUAAUUUAAAAAGUGCCUUUCUAGUCAUUUAUUAUUGUAACAGACUUGAUUAACAGACUUGAACAGACGAAGUCCUGAACAUUUUAUUUUAAUCUCAGUCUACCCUUAUCAAUGGUGCUGUCACAACGUUUUUGAAGUGAUCAUUUCCCAUUCAUUGGACCAACAACUCUCACAUGCUCCUCCAUUGUCACAUCUCUUCUUCGCUCCUUACCUUGCCCUCACAUCUACAGUGGGAGGGCAGCUUAUGCUAAAUGAGCCCAGACACCAGGACAGCCAAUCAACAUCCACCACAGGUUGUGACAGACCAUUGUUUUCCACCCCCAACAACUCAAGCAAAAGAAGCCCAACGCAUAAAAACAGAUUUGAUAAAAAUGUAAAAAAAGGUAAAAAAAAAAAAAAGUAAGCCUACUGAGACCGAGUUGCAUGGUGUGUAGCUUUAAUUGUAAUGAGCUGUGUUUGUCGACAGAGUGUGUGUCUGUAGUUGACUGACAGUUGUCAGAGCUCCAUGCUUUUUUUUUUUAAAGAUGUGUAGCAAAGCCUGCUUCUUAAAAAAUUGGAAAACUUCACAACUCACCAUUUGAGUGCCUCUUCUCUCAAACAAGUGAGGGAGAUGAUAGAUUUUUCUCACGUGUGGUGUUCAUAAAAGGCUCUCGGGACACAUAGCACUGGUUCCAACAUCAUUAAAAAGUCACUUUUACACAGUGGGGGACCUUUUAAUUAAAAUCAGUGGAGUGGAGUUUGCCUUGACGCUGAGUAAUCCCUAAAAAAAAAAUCCCCAAAAUUUGAAAGAUUGGUUUCAGGCCGACAAGAAACCUUGACGAAAACGUCGAACAUCAGCAUAAGUGAUCAGUGAAAGUGAAAAAAUGAGGAAAUGGUGACCAAAUAUGGAAAGAAAACAGGAGUGGAUCAGUGUCUGCUGUCAGUAAUGCAGAGUUAAAGGAUGCACUCUUAUCUUUGUGGUUCAUCCAGGUCAUUCCGCCACGACCUCAGUCUACACGACAGGCUGACCAAGGCGCUGCACUUCAAACAAAGUCAUUUGGGCUUCCCACAUGGUUUCAUAUGAGUAAUUGCGAAGGCCUUUGCAAAUCAUCCCGCUAACAGCUUUCAUUUAUCCCGCCAAUCCCACUCAGGAAUCCAAAAGCAGACAUGCACACGCGUGUUACAGUAUGUGUGUCACAGCCCAAAUGUUAUUUCUGUGUUUAUUAUGUUUAUUUUUAGUCACUGCCUCUCUUUGAACAUUUAUGGAGCCUCCCGUCACUCCGAUGAUUCUAACAGACAGCCUCCUCCUUCAAAAGGAAAUCUGGUGCUUGGAUUCAUCAAGAGACUCUCAGUGCCAUUUGGCGUCCGCUCACGCUCUGGCUGAUGCAUUUUUUGGCGUGGGGGAGGGACCAUGGUGCUGUUAAAAAAAGGUGAAGUCAGCCUGUGGUGCCGGCAUGUGGUUUUUUUGGGGAGCGCACGCUCUGCUCCCCAUCCACCCUCCGCCCUCUUCUCAUCUGCGUUUCCUGUCACCCACCUCAAAGUGGGGCCAAGGAAACAGCCUUGGCAUUUUUGAGGGCAGAUGUGUGACAUCUUUUCCUUUUUGUUGAGGAAUCCACUAAAGCCGAGUGGGAGGGGAAGGGUUUGACUCAUGAGUGCUUCUAAAUUGACCAUUUCCACUUUCAGGGGUUUCUGUGUGAUGCUGUCUCACAGGAGAUGCGGUUUGUCUGUGUGCUCUACCAGAGGAAAAGGGAAAAAAAAUGAAAAAAGGCAGUGAUAAAUGUCAGGAAGAUUAUUUCAAUCUUGCAAAAGCUUAAUACGGGUAGGAAUAAACAUGAAAAGAUGGGCACCAAAACAACAAUUUUCUAUGC
Dunckerocampus dactyliophorus (ringed pipefish) is the source of this 5118-nucleotide long non-coding RNA. RefSeq lists it as uncharacterized. The transcript has 8 exons. NCBI's taxonomy places the organism in Eukaryota, Metazoa, Chordata, Actinopteri, Syngnathiformes, Syngnathidae. The record is from RefSeq and is a predicted model, not a curated record.